This is a long non-coding RNA of Zingiber officinale, 854 nucleotides long. RefSeq lists it as uncharacterized. Lineage: Eukaryota; Viridiplantae; Streptophyta; Magnoliopsida; Zingiberales; Zingiberaceae. The transcript is spliced from 4 exons. The record is from RefSeq and is a predicted model, not a curated record.
CCGUUUUCCCCAAACCCGACGCCGAUCUCCUCCUCCCCGAUUCCCUCUGCCCGAGCCCCUCUCCGGCGAUUUCUCCUCUCCGCCUCUCGGUGUCGCCGGCGCAAGCAACCACCGGAGCUUUGCAGGGCGGGUUCUCCGUCCUCUCCCUCUUGAGGUGUGGAUCCCUCCUCCCUUCCUCUCCCUCCUCUUCCUGCCCUAGAUCGUCGACAGAGAGGUCUCGUCCACUGCGAUUGAGUUCUUGCUGAGUUACCGGAGAUAGGACGUUGGAGCUCGAAGGGUACCAAUCAUCUCCGGCAGAGUAGGCAUCCUGGUGGUUGUUUCUUGCGAGCGAUCGAGGUGAUCCGGCGGAGCUAGGGCACGGCAGCGGGGGAAUUGGUUCGCAUCUCUCUCGGUAGAUUGAGCUCUCUCAGUUCUUCUCCUCUAUCUGUUCACUGGAGUUUGACUUGCAACUCCAAAAUUGCUGGAUCGAAGUGGGCGACAUCACCAGGGAGAGUUUAAUUGAGAGGAAGCAUUGGACCAGUAUGUGGUGGAUCUUCCCAGUUGCCGGUCACUGCCAAGUCUAUUUCUUGGAGUUGUGGAGGUCUCGGCUGAAGAGUUAGGGAUCUGUUUGAGCUUAUGGCAGUGGGUUGUAGGGUUGUUAGCUACUGGUUUGCUGCCAUCCCUCAAGGACUUGGAUUCGGGACGAGUGUCUCGACAUGGGAUUUUCGGAUGACGAUCGACAGAUUAAGGCGGGUAUUUCUUCCUUUACCUCUAUGUAGAUUUUCUUGUACUUAGUGCAUGGUUGCUAUCCGAUGGAUUAGACCGCUUUACCUUAUAUCAUAUCUGUUUGUUGAUUUCCUGCUAGAGACUUAUGC